AUGCCUUUUCCACCCAAGUCAACUAAAAACAAAGAUGAAGAAGAAUUUGAACGCUUUGCUGAAAUGCUUAGGCCAGUCUUUUUGCGUACUCACUUAACUGACAUCUUAAAAAUGCCUCCUUAUGCAAAGUAUAUGAAAGACAUCAUCACAAAUAAGAGAAAAAUACCGGAAGCUGAAAUCUCCACUAUGCUUGCUAAUUAUACUUUCAAAGAUGGAGUACCUAAAAAACUUGGAGAUCCGGGAAUACCAACUAUACCUUGCUCUAUCAAAAAGAAUUAUGUGAAAACUGCUUUGUGUGAUUUAGGAGCUGGUGUUAGUGUUAUGCCUUUCUCUUUAUACAAAAGACUUGAUCGGAAUAAACUCACACCUACUGAAAUAUAUUUGCAAAUGGCUGACAAAUCAACUGCCACACCUAUCGAUAUCUGUGAGGAUGUGCCCGUUGUUGUUGCUAAUGUUACCAUUUUGGCUGAAUUUCUUAUACUUGAGAUGCCCGAGGACGACAACAUGUCAAUUAUCCUUGGUAGACCCUUGCUGAAUACUGCAGGGGCUGUUAUUGAUUGCAAUAAAAGCAAGAUCACUUUUCAUAUUAAUGGUAAUGAGCAUACGGUGCACUUUCCGAAGAAACAAUUCCAAGUGAAUGGUAUUAGUGUUAUUGAAAAAUCUCCUACAAUCACUAUUGGAAGUUUUCAAAUACCUCUACCUACUGCCAAAAAGAAAUAUGAAAUGCUUAUUGUUGGGGAAAUGCAUAUCCACAUUGAGGUAACUUAG
Molecule: ribosomal RNA, 768 nt
Filed under: Triticum aestivum (bread wheat)
Lineage: Eukaryota; Viridiplantae; Streptophyta; Magnoliopsida; Poales; Poaceae
Description: partial small subunit ribosomal RNA
Source: RNAcentral